CCUCACUGAAACUCAUCAUAAACGAAGAAGGUUUUUUGGCAUGAUGGCACAAACGGUCCUGACAUCUGUUAUGAUGGCAGGAGAUUCUGAAUUGAAGAAGGCAGUCUCAACAUAUUUUUCUCAAUAUACAAGCUUGCAUUUGUUGAUUUUAUGGAAUGAUGACCAAACACAUUGGAAAGAAAUGGCUUAUGUCAGUUUAUUAUGUGUCAUGAGAAGAAACCAAGGGCAAGAGCUGUCCAAGAAUGUUCCCUCUGAACCAGCCAGAAACUGAGAAAUGCUAUAAAGGUCAUACUAAUCAAGUCCUGAACUCUGGGAGUAGAACCUGGUCUCUUGACUAGCAACAAAAAAUGUUCUCAGUGUUCCAAUACAUGAGCUGGAGAGAUGACUCAACAGCUAAGAGCACUGGCUAUACUUCCAGAGGACCCAGUUUCCCAACUUAACACCCACCUGGCAGUUCAGAACUAUUCCAAACUACUACAGGAAUGGACAUUUGCGAUUCAACAUCACCACUGAGUAGGAACCAUUGAAGUAGGAUCUGUCACAUGAUUGGAUGGAAGAAAAUGGAAGAAAGAAUUUUCAGCU
Molecule: long non-coding RNA, 582 nt
Organism: Mus pahari (shrew mouse)
Lineage: Eukaryota; Metazoa; Chordata; Mammalia; Rodentia; Muridae
Exons: 4
Source: RefSeq, a predicted model, not a curated record